Molecule: long non-coding RNA, 757 nt
Organism: Gavialis gangeticus (Gharial)
Lineage: Eukaryota; Metazoa; Chordata; Crocodylia; Gavialidae
Exons: 3
Source: RefSeq, a predicted model, not a curated record
AAACCAGGGUCCCUGGUAAUUAUACUCACGUUUGUUAAAUGUGGCAGAAGUGCAAGUUUGUUUUCAUGCUUUGAGUGCACAAAUCUUGCCAUUGCCGCAAUUUUGUAUAUAAUUCUGGGUCACCAAGACCAUCAAAUGUUUUAUUUUUUACAGGUUACACUGAAUCCCAUAAAACAGUAUUUAUGGUAUGUUUUCAAGCAAAAAUAACUCUAACGAGUUGGAGAGAAAAGUGUUGGCAGUCAUUAAAAAAAGCAUUACCUGCCUUCCUUCCUGAGAUGCACUUACAAAGCAUUAACAGAAUACUCAGUAGUUUUACACUUUAACGAAAGGGAUUUAAUUCUGAAAUAAGCAUGCCGCAUUACUCAGUUUUGCUGCCAUGAAAUGUUUUCAUUUGCAAUCAGGUCUUCAAUUAUUGUGGGUUAUUUUCCCCCUAGAAAUAUAUUGGUAACAUGAAACCCAAAUACCUUUUAUCCAGCUAUUAUCGUGCCCCUGAAAUCAUAGUUUUGACUUGUCUGUCAUGUAUAACUGUUAGCUCCUACAUAAUGCAUAUUUGCUUCUACAUAAUGUUAACGGUAGAUGAUCAAAAAUUUUUUUAUUAAAAUCAUGUUGCUAGCUUUCACAUUUCCAUGCACUAAGUGGAUACACAUACGUAGAAGUAGUGAAUGGCAGUUUUCAAAAUUACAGUCAUGUCACAUCUUACGCGGGGGUUACGUUCUGAAGUCAGCGUGUAAGGCAAAAAUCGUAUAGUUGAAAUUGC